This 497-nucleotide ribosomal RNA is filed under the name uncultured bacterium. RNAcentral's name for it is "partial 16S ribosomal RNA". It matches the Rfam family "Bacterial small subunit ribosomal RNA", at positions 28 to 507 of the family's 1533-position model. The record is from RNAcentral.
GACGAACGCUGGCGGCGUGCCUAAUACAUGCAAGUUGAGCGCUGAAGGUUGGUACUUGUACCAACUGGAUGAGCAGCGAACGGGUGAGUAACGCGUGGGGAAUCUGCCUUUGAGCGGGGGACAACAUUUGGAAACGAAUGCUAAUACCGCAUAAAAACUUUAAACAAAAGUUUAAAGUUUGAAAGAUGCAAUUGCAUCACUCAAAGAUGAUCCCGCGUUGUAUUAGCUAGUUGGUGAGGUAAAGGCUCACCAAGGCGAUGAUACAUAGCCGACCUGAGAGGGUGAUCGGCCACAUUGGGACUGAGACACGGCCCAAACUCCUACGGGAGGCAGCAGUAGGGAAUCUUCGGCAAUGGACGAAAGUCUGACCGAGCAACGCCGCGUGAGUGAAGAAGGUUUUCGGAUCGUAAAACUCUGUUGGUAGAGAAGAACGUUGGUGAGAGUGGAAAGCUCAUCAAGUGACGGUAACUACCCAGAAAGGGACGGCUAACUACGUG